CCUACGGUGGGCAGCAGUGAGGAAUAUUGGUCAAUGGACGAGAGUCUGAACCAGCCAAGUAGCGUGAAGGAUGACUGCACUAUGGGUUGUAAACUUCUUUUAUAUGGGAAUCAAAUGUUACACGUGUGGGAUUUUGUAUGUACCAUAUGAAUAAGGAUCGGCUAACUCCGUGCCAGCAGCCGCGGUAAUACGGAGGAUCCGAGCGUUAUCCGGAUUUAUUGGGUUUAAAGGGAGCGUAGGUGGAUUGUUAAGUCAGUUGUGAAAGGUUGCGGCUCAACCGUAAAAUUGCAUUUGAAACUGGCAGUCUGGAGAACAGAAGAGGUGGGCGGAAUUCGUGGUGUAGCGGUGAAAUGCUUAGAGAUCACGAAGAACUCCGAUUGCGAAGGCAGUUCACUGGUCUACAACUGACACUGAGGCUCGAAAGUGUGGGUAUCAAACAGGAUUAGAUACCCUGGUAGUC
RNAcentral lists this ribosomal RNA (460 nucleotides) under uncultured bacterium. Its description in RNAcentral is "partial 16S ribosomal RNA". It matches the Rfam family "Bacterial small subunit ribosomal RNA", at positions 338 to 795 of the family's 1533-position model. The record is from RNAcentral.